This 345-nucleotide ribosomal RNA is filed under the name Escherichia coli. Its description in RNAcentral is "partial 23S ribosomal RNA". It matches the Rfam family "Bacterial large subunit ribosomal RNA", at positions 1 to 382 of the family's 2925-position model. Lineage: Bacteria; Pseudomonadati; Pseudomonadota; Gammaproteobacteria; Enterobacterales; Enterobacteriaceae. RNAcentral also lists the same sequence under 1 other name. The record is from RNAcentral.
GGUUAAGCGACUAAGCGUACACGGUGGAUGCCCUGGCAGUCAGAGGCGAUGAAGGACGUGCUAAUCUGCGAUAAGCGUCGGUGAGGUGAUAUGAACCGUUAUAACCGGCGAUUUCCGAAUGGGGAAACCCAGUGUGUUUCGACACACUAUCAUUAACUGAAUCCAUAGGUUAAUGAGGCGAACCGGGGGAACUGAAACAUCUAAGUACCCCGAGGAAAAGAAAUCAACCGAGAUUCCCCCAGUAGCGGCGAGCGAACGGGGAGGAGCCCAGAGCCUGAAUCAGUGUGUGUGUUAGUGGAAGCGUCUGGAAAGGCGCGCGAUACAGGGUGACAGCCCCGUACACAA